CAAAAAUUAAAGAUGAUCAUGAAAUAAGAAAUUCCAAGAUCAAGAUGCUAUACUUAGGCAUAAUGUAUUUUGCUACUAAUUGUUUAAGCUCGAUCGCUUUGGAAGCUGGUUCUCGCAAUUUAUUUCGCUCUAUUUCAACAAGACCUGUGGUUUUUAAUAAUAUAUUCCGCCGAAAUUACAAUUUGAGGAUUAAGAUAAUGAUAGGAGAC
Acromyrmex echinatior (Panamanian leafcutter ant) is the source of this 209-nucleotide long non-coding RNA. NCBI's taxonomy places the organism in Eukaryota, Metazoa, Arthropoda, Insecta, Hymenoptera, Formicidae. The record is from RefSeq and is a predicted model, not a curated record.